AGCUUCCAUAUUAUUUUAAGUCGAAAAGAUCAUUUUAAGAGAGGAAAGUUAUGAAGGGUACAAAAGUACCAUCAGUCUUAUCAGGACCCCAAGCUUUUCACUGUUCUCCACCAAUUUUUUAAAGUCACAUGUUAGGAACUAUCCUCCUCCCAUACUUGGUUGUAGCUUAGAUAGUUCUGCCGAAAUAGCUUGUCUUUUAGUAUGGUCAGAUUCACCGUAGACAAAUGUGGCAUUGAAAUAGAGGCCCUUGUAGGAUAUACUGGUAUCAAUGUAUUUUUUUGUCGCCAUUAGUACCAUAAGUCCCACAUCAUUCUUCCAACCAAGGUAAAAACCCCCUCCUUCGGGACUAUGUGGAGGUACAAGGUAGGAUUCAUCCAUAGGCAUCCAUUGAAGGUCUUUUAAAACCUUUACAUUGGGGUUUAUUGUCUCCGUAAGGAAAAAAAUAUCAGAAGAAUUUCUCUUUAGAUUCUCCUUUAGCCGCUAAACUAUUAUGGGGAGAUACAAUUUUUAUCUGUGAAUUAAUUGAACUAGGAAUGUGAAAUUCAAAAGCAACAGCACACGAGAAGUUUGGGUCCGUUGCGGAAUCUUGCCUGAAUUUUUUUUUCAAAUCCAUUCGUUGAAAUUUAUUUUUACGUUGGUCAAAAAUACAAAAAACUAAUCGAAUGUAGUUUGGAUUGGCAAGCUUUAAAGUAUAUUUUAUCAAUGGUAAAAGACUAAAAUAUCUAAUGAAUAUAAUUUAUAUGUAUAAAAUUUCUUACUAAAUUAUUCAAUUUUAAAAUAAGAAAAAGCUUAACAAUUGAUUAAAGACAAUUAUAUAAGGACAAACCUCCUAAAUAGUUUUUUAUUUAUUUAUUUUUCUUCAAAAUAGUGCUAAAAAUCAAAGUAACGAAAAUAUAUUUUACUUAAAUGUUAAAUUAUAGUUAUACCAUAAUUUAUAAUUUAAUUAAUUAUUUAUUAAAAAUAUAAAAUAAAUAAAUAUUAAAAUUUUGAAAAUAACCAAAUUUUGGCUAGACACCAAACUUACUCCAAUUGGUUAGUUUUGGAGGCAGAGACACCUACUGCUUGCCAUGCACGACCUAUAUCCUCCCUGAGCUCAUUCUCCAUCCCUAUAAAUAGUAAUCACUCCUUAGUUCACUACUCAUACAUAAAACCCAACCAUACCAGCCUGAGUGAGUUUUGAGCCUUUAGACCCUUCCUGUGUCUAGAUUCUAAAGUUCCAGAGAUUCUCACAUAAAAUCUUAAAGUAAGAUAACUGCGAGAUAUGAGUGUGUGCAGUCCGAAACAUCCAUUUAAGUUUUUGAGGUUCCAAUACUCGAGGAGGAGUUUUAUGAGAGUCAUUGGUCCACCAGAAAUCCGUGCCUUACCCAGGUAACACUUAAUAGGUUCCAUUCGAGAUUGGAGGAGCACAAAACUGUUGGUGUAGAUUUGGUACCUUUUGUAAACAUGUACGGUUUUGUAAUAUGUAUGAUAUGAGUUUGAAAAUCGGCGGAGCAUGUAUAAAUGUUUUGAUGUGGUUGAAACUAAAGUAUAUAUGAAUAAUAAAGGUUUGGAAA
This is a long non-coding RNA of Raphanus sativus (radish), 1553 nucleotides long. RefSeq lists it as uncharacterized. NCBI's taxonomy places the organism in Eukaryota, Viridiplantae, Streptophyta, Magnoliopsida, Brassicales, Brassicaceae. The transcript has 4 exons. The record is from RefSeq and is a predicted model, not a curated record.